This 254-nucleotide ribosomal RNA is filed under the name uncultured bacterium. RNAcentral describes it as "partial 16S ribosomal RNA". It matches the Rfam family "Bacterial small subunit ribosomal RNA", at positions 524 to 777 of the family's 1533-position model. The record is from RNAcentral.
AACGUAGGUGGCGAGCGUUAUCCGGAUUUACUGGGCGUAAAGCAUGUGCAGACGGGUUGGUAAGUGGUGUAUGAAAGCGUCCGGCUUAACCGGGCAAGGGUAUGCCAGACUGCCAGUCUUGAGAAUGGGAGAGGGAUGUGGAAUUCCGGGUGUAGUGGUGAAAUGCGUAGAGAUCCGGAGGAACCCCAGAGGCGAAGGCGGCGUCCUGGCCCAUUUCUGACGUUCAGACAUGACAGCAUGGGGAGCGAACGGGG